This 300-nucleotide ribosomal RNA is filed under the name Triticum aestivum (bread wheat). RNAcentral describes it as "partial small subunit ribosomal RNA". Lineage: Eukaryota; Viridiplantae; Streptophyta; Magnoliopsida; Poales; Poaceae. The record is from RNAcentral.
AUGACAUACGAGGGAGUGUUCUAUCAAGAGCAACCUGAUGAUGAUGAUGAUGUGGUUAGAAACGAUGACGCUAGACCAUUGGGUGAUGAUGAUGUGGACCCAAACGUCGACGAUGCACGGAAUGAUGGUGAGACCAUUGUCAAUGAAAAUGACAUACUUAUGCUAGAAAAGUUAAACGAAGACGCUGACGACGAGGAAGAGCCUCCACCUCCGUCGGACAACGAAGAUGAUAUGAUUGAUAGUGAUGAUGAGACGGACCGAGAAAGAGGUUACAACAGUGAUGAUUCAUAUGGGUUCUAG